UGUGAUUGUGUGUGUGCGUGUGUAUGUGUGUGUGUAUAUAUAUAUACAUAUAUAUAUAUAUAUAUAUAUACACACAUACACACACACACACGAUCACAGA
Molecule: non-coding RNA, 100 nt
Organism: Pelobates cultripes (western spadefoot toad)
Lineage: Eukaryota; Metazoa; Chordata; Amphibia; Anura; Pelobatidae
Source: the annotation of a GenBank genome assembly